This 194-nucleotide ribosomal RNA is filed under the name Halothiobacillus sp. RNAcentral's name for it is "partial 16S ribosomal RNA". It matches the Rfam family "Bacterial small subunit ribosomal RNA", at positions 1342 to 1533 of the family's 1533-position model. Lineage: Bacteria; Pseudomonadati; Pseudomonadota; Gammaproteobacteria; Chromatiales; Halothiobacillaceae. The record is from RNAcentral.
UCGCGGAUCAGCAUGCCGCGGUGAAUACGUUCCCAGGCCUUGUACACACCGCCCGUCACACCAUGGGAGUUGGAUUCACUCGAAGGCGUUGAGCUAACCCGCAAGGGAGGCAGGCGACCACAGUGGGUUUAGCGACUGGGGUGAAGUCGUAACAAGGUAGCCGUAGGGGAACCUGCGGCUGGAUCACCUCCUUU